This 512-nucleotide ribosomal RNA is filed under the name uncultured bacterium. Its description in RNAcentral is "bacterial SSU rRNA". It matches the Rfam family "Bacterial small subunit ribosomal RNA", at positions 355 to 883 of the family's 1533-position model. The record is from RNAcentral.
UGGGGAAUCUUGGACAAUGGGGGCAACCCUGAUCCAGCCAUGCCGCGUGAGUGAUGAAGGCCUUAGGGUCGUAAAGCUCUUUCGCCUGUGAAGAUAAUGACGGUAGCAGGUAAAGAAACCCCGGCUAACUCCGUGCCAGCAGCCGCGGUAAUACGGAGGGGGUUAGCGUUGUUCGGAAUUACUGGGCGUAAAGCGCACGUAGGCGGACCAGAAAGUUGGGGGUGAAAUCCCGGGGGCUCAACCCCGGAACUGCCUCCAAAACUAUUGGUCUAGAGUUCGAGAGAGGUGAGUGGAAUUCCAAGUGUAGAGGUGAAAUUCGUAGAUAUUUGGAGGAACACCAGUGGCGAAGGCGGCUCACUGGCUCGAUACUGACGCUGAGGUGCGAAAGUGUGGGGAGCAAACAGGAUUAGAUACCCUGGUAGUCCACACCGUAAACGAUGAAUGCCAGUCGUCGGGUAGCAUGCUAUUCGGUGACAUACCUAACGGAUUAAGCAUUCCGCCUGGGGGAGUAC